Molecule: ribosomal RNA, 1422 nt
Filed under: human gut metagenome
Description: bacterial LSU rRNA
Rfam family: Bacterial large subunit ribosomal RNA
Source: RNAcentral
CUAAAUACUACCCAGUGACCGAUAGCGUAUAGUACUGUGAAGGAAAGGUGAAAAGCACCCCGGGAGGGGAGUGAAAAAGAACCUGAAACCCUGUGCCUACAAGCACCUAGAGCACGUCAAUGUGUGAUAGGGUACUUUUUGUAGAACGGUCCGGCGAGCGAUUGUAUGCAGCAAGGUUAAGGACUUAAGGUCUGGAGCCGAAGCGAAAGCGAGUUUGAAAAGGGCGUUAAGUUGCAUACAAUGGGCCCGAAACCGGGUGACCUACCCAUGGUCAGGUUGAAGUGGAAGUAAAAUUCCAUGGAGGACCGAACCGACCUCCGUUGAAAAGGCGGCGGAUGAACUGUGGGUAGCGGAGAAAUUCCAAUCGAACCCGGAGAUAGCUGGUUCUCCCCGAAAUAGUUUUAGGACUAGCCUCAAGUUAGAUACCUGGAGGUAAAGCACUGAAUAGCCUAGCGGCCGAGAGGUUAGCGAAGCUUAUCAAACUCAGAAUGCCAGAGUAUUGAUGCUUGGGAGUCAGACAGUGUCAGAUAAAUGUCAUUGUCAAAAGGGAAACAGCCCAGAUCUACAGCUAAGGUCCCAAAGUCAGGUUAAGUGGAAAACGAUGUGAAGAUACGCAGACAACCAGGAUGUUGGCUCAGAAGCAGCCACUCAUUCAAAGAGUGCGUAAUAGCUCACUGGUCGAGCGUCUUUGCGCGGAGAAUUUAACGGGGCUAAACCUGACACCGAAGCUUAGGCAAUACAGUAAUGUAUUGGGUAGGGGAGCGUUGUAUACGCGGUGAAACAGUAGCGCAAGCGGCUGUGGAGUGUAUAGAAGUGAGAAUGCCGGAAUGAGUAGCGCGAAUGCAGUGAGAAUCUGCAUGGCCGAAAGCCUCAGGUUUCUGGAGGAAGGUUCGUCCGCUCCAGGUUAGUCGGGAGCUAAGGUGAGGCCUAACGGCGUAGCCGAUGCACAGACGGUAGAGAUUCCGUCACCACCAAAAGAGUUAAACACAGGGACACAUUUGAAGUCUCGGAGCCGGGUGUUGGUUCCGGUAGCGAUCGAGGGAAAUUAGUACCGAAGUCCGGGAUGGAAGAUGGCGAGAAAAGCUGUGUGUAUUUCUGCGGUGCCCGUACCGCAAACCGACACAGGUAGGUAGGAAGAAGAUUCUAAGGCCAACGGGAGAAGGGUUGUUAAGGAACUCGGCAAAUUGACCCCGUAACUUCGGGAGAAGGGGUGCUCCAGAGAUGGAGCCGCAGAGAAUCGGCCCAAGCAACUGUUUACCAAAAACACAGGUUUGUGCUAAAUCGAAAGAUGACGUAUACGAGCUGACGCCUGCCCGGUGCUGGAAGGUUAAGAGGAGAUGUGCAAGCAUUGAAUCGAAGCCCCAGUGAACGGCGGCCGUAACUAUAACGGUCCUAAGGUAGCGAAAUUCCUUGUCAGGUAAG